RNAcentral lists this ribosomal RNA (506 nucleotides) under uncultured bacterium. RNAcentral describes it as "partial 16S ribosomal RNA". It matches the Rfam family "Bacterial small subunit ribosomal RNA", at positions 28 to 523 of the family's 1533-position model. The record is from RNAcentral.
GAUGAACGCUAGCUACAGGCUUAACACAUGCAAGUCGAGGGGUAACGAGAGGAAAGCUUGCUUUCCUUGCCGACGACCGGCGCACGGGUGAGUAACGCGUAUCCAACCUGCCCCCAACUAGGGAAUAACCUUGCGAAAGUAAGACUAAUACCCUAUAAUUUCCUCAGAUGUCAUCUGACGAGGAAUAAAGAUUUAUCGGUUGUGGAUGGGGAUGCGUCUGAUUAGCUUGUUGGCGGGGUAACGGCCCACCAAGGCAACGAUCAGUAGGGGUUCUGAGAGGAAGGUCCCCCACAUUGGAACUGAGACACGGUCCAAACUCCUACGGGAGGCAGCAGUGAGGAAUAUUGGUCAAUGGGCAGAAGCCUGAACCAGCCAAGUAGCGUGCAGGAUGACGGCCCUAUGGGUUGUAAACUGCUUUUAUACAGGAAUAAAGUUAGCCACGUGUGGUUAUUUGUAGGUACUGUAUGAAUAAGGACCGGCUAAUUCCGUGCCAGCCGCCGCAGUAA